This 516-nucleotide small RNA is filed under the name Arabidopsis thaliana (thale cress). RNAcentral describes it as "ATSL195720". The record is from RNAcentral. Lineage: Eukaryota; Viridiplantae; Streptophyta; Magnoliopsida; Brassicales; Brassicaceae.
UCUUUAUGAUUUUCUACAACUAAUCCAACAUUUUUAAAUAUAACUUAAAGAAACGUAACAAGGACGUGGUUUGAUGGUGGUGUUUUUAACCGUGUCAAUUUGAAUCAAGUUCUCGAAGAUAUAAAUUGAGGUUUUUCAGUCUAGAAAGCGUGAAGGUGAAAACGAUCUAAAAUGCAUCAAAAGAGAAAAGUGAUAGAGUUAAGUACCAAUUUAGAAGUUAAAGCAUUUUCUUAGAAUAACAUAAAACAAAACAGAGUACAUCUUGACGAGCUUGAAAAAUGCUUAUCAACACCAUAAAAACACUACAAGUCUCUCUUCUGCUGACACCUCCGCUUUUUCAGUUAAUCACAGCUUGACACCUCAUUAAAAUCAACAGCCAAUCAGAACAUUUUGAUUAAUACACCUCAUUUACGUUGACCAAUAAAAACUUACUAUUUUUCCAUGUCAUCCCAUCAACUUAACAAAAUUAAAAUUAGACAUGGGCCUACCCCAACCAAACUAUUUUCAAAAUUAAAA